This is a long non-coding RNA of Drosophila yakuba, 3631 nucleotides long. RefSeq lists it as uncharacterized. The record is from RefSeq and is a predicted model, not a curated record. The transcript is spliced from 5 exons. Lineage: Eukaryota; Metazoa; Arthropoda; Insecta; Diptera; Drosophilidae.
UGUUUUGUUUUAUUAUUACCUUUUCUAUGUUUAAAUGAAAAAUAUAUUUAUCCACAACCAAUAAUUUGAUACGACUUACAAAGGAAUCGAUUAAUCAAGAUCAGUGAUCAUUCCAAACCAUUAUUCAACUUUUCAUGAUAGGUGUUGAUACCUAUUAACGUGUGGGCUUGAGCAUUCUAGUAUGUUUAUUUUAUACUCAUUAUAAUGGGAAGAUAAAGUUGGGUAUUUGAAUAGGCGUACGAUAUUUUAGUAUAAAUUAAUAAACUUUACUAUGUGUUUGUGAUAAUAAAUAAUUAUCAUAUUAGUUCUUAAGACUUGCGGAAAACAGCUGUCGACGAUAUACUCAUGAGAAUUAAUACGUUAAAAUGAUCUCAUUGAAACCAAUACAUUGGCUUGUUGCGUCUUAGACGUAUAUAUAAUUCCUUCCUUUUUGAUAUUAGAUAUAAGGUUUUGAAUUAGAUAAGAAUUAUUUAAAUGCAGUGAACAGAAGCAGCACGGCAGCCUGCGAAACAGAAAGUGUCUCUGUCUGUGAUCUGCUGACGUAUUUAUACGUUUAAUCGGUUUUCGCAUCAAAAGAGCGUCAGCGUCACAGAACGGCAAAUAAGCCAGAACUAGUUUCUGUGUAGUCGUCAACAAAGCAAGAUCACAAUACCGAUCUUUACAAAUGCACACUGCAAAAAUAUUCUUCAUUUGAAAAUAAAAUAAAUUUAUAGAAUUUAUAAAAUUUGUGCUUGAACAACUAUUAUUUUGGUCAAUUAUUAAAUUAGCCAAUUCUAUUUCAGCUGCAUGAUUUAUUAAUUCAGUCCGGGCUGUUCCGACUUAAUUACUACCUGCAAUAGAAAGACGACUUUUAAAAACGUUUUAAGCAAAUAAGCUAGAGUAUAAAAAGAAACACGCGAGGCAUUUCAGGUUUGCUCCCACCAUUUCUAUUUCAGCUGCAUGAUUUAUUAAUUCAGUCCGGGCUGUUCCGACUUAAUUACUACCUGCAAUAGAAAGACGACUUUUAAAAACGUUUUAAGCAAAUAAGCUAGAGUAUAAAAAGAAACACGCGAGGCAUUUCAGGUUUGCUCCCACCAUGUAAGUAUGUGACUGCAAUACUUGCUUGUUCCAGUAAGCACUAAUUCUGUUGUCUAUCACUGCAUUUAUUAUAAAUCUUGACACAAUUUAAAUUUGAUAUUUCUUGAGUAUUAUAUAAAUGUAUAUAUGCGUUAAAUGAGGAAAUUUACAACUAUACAUAUAUAUAGAUCCAUUUUGCCGAAAAAGCGUUUUGCCACGCAUACGAAAUGGCUAGAUUCAAUUUUGUUAUCAGUGCACUAUGGGGCGAACGACCACCUUAUGUGGAAAAAACCCAUUUUUUAAAAGUUGUUAAACAAAUUUUUUUUAAAUUGACAUGUAUUCAGAAAACAUCAAUCUAUCAUGUUACGUACUUGAAAUUUUUAAAGAGGGCGCCACUGUUCAGUGAGCAGCUGUUUAGUCAGCUGUUUUGUUUGCGCUGGCACACCGAUAACCGAAUUUUUGUUAAUCGCUGAAAAAUCUUACAAGUUUGAAGUGACAAAAAGGGCUUAAACAAUUAUAAAAGUGUUACUUAUAACAUGCAGUCGAAUCCUUGUGGUUUUUAAUAUGUGUUUGUGAUCUUCGAAUGUUAAAAUUAACUGUGUCCCAAUAAUCUUCAGUUUAUUUCCGGAUUUGGGUCCAUUAAGAAGGAAACGCUAAAAUUGACACGAUGUGUAAGACAGGCUGCCGUGUAAGACGGUCCCGAUUGUGCCGGAGUGUGACUGAUGUGGGCGGCCUAAGCGCGUGGUGAUUCUCCACGUUUUUAAGGCGGCUCAUGUAUACUAAACAGCCACGCCAAUUCGAUGUGUGACUUGCGCCGCAGUUGCUGCAUAUUUUUACAGAGAUGUCUUCCUUGUUCUUAUGGCAGUUCGCUGUGCCAUGUACUUCACUACAGACUACGCAAAUAAAUGCCAGUGUACAUGUUAUGUUGCGAUCCAUUCCAGUCUGUACGGUCGACCCGGCGUUCUUGUUUACGUUGUGGUUUGCCGAUAGCACAGCAGAACCGUUAAGUUGUGUUUUUGUUUUGAUCGCUGGCUCAGUGAGAGCAAGUGCUUGCGUCGCCAUAAUUGAGCGAGCUGACGAUACCGCUCCAGUUGUUGUUGUGAUUGCAGUUGGUGUUAUUGUCACCGUAGGUAAGCUAUACGGAGCUCUUAAACACGACUUCACAUGUCAGGCAAUGGAUUGUAUUAUUACAGACAUUUUUUUUAAUAUUUAUAUUAUUUUCUUAGUUUUAUAAAAGUUAUUUAUCAAUUUAUUUUGAAAAGAGCAAGGUAGCAAUUGCAUAUAGUUACGUUUAUUUACUUUUGAGAAUAUUUAGUGGACCGUCUUUAUAGACGAGCCCCAACGCUGAAACUAAAUUUUUGACAAAUAAAAGAAACCGGGUUGGAUUUUUGUUUUUUAUUGUUCAACGUUCAGCUUAAGACCAAAUAUCAAACUUACGUAAAUUUGAAAGGAAACCUCAGUGCUUUAAGAAUAUGUAAGUGUAAAUCGGGAGAAAAUUCCUUUUGGAUGAUAAAGUGAAGCUUCAGAACAGGCAAAACUGCUUAGGUUAGGCUUUAAGAUUUGUUUUCGAGAAUGGCUAAGUGCCGUUGCCAAAGAAUUGUUUAUAAGAACGCACUGCGCAGAUGGCAUUGUUAAUAGUUCUGGAUGGAUUAAAUACCUAGAAACCUAUACUUGGGCUGGGAUUGAUUGAUGUGGUGGGGGUAAUAAAGCUUCUUCCAUUUUUAUGUGUGCUGUGAUUUGAUUUGGAUUCUUCUUCAUUAUACCCGUUACUCGCAGAGUGAAAGGGUAUACCAAAUUCGUUAAAAAGUAUAAAACAGGCGGAAUGAAGCGUUUCCAACCAUAUAAAGUAUAUGUCAAAGGUACACUUUGUCUGUCUUUGUCCGCCGUAAUGUUAGUGUAGUGAGUUUCGAUCGCACUGAAGUUUUACGCACAACUGACUUGUGUCGGACACAUCUUCUGCGUGCUUACGAUCGAAUAACACUAGGCGUCAGCGACAACACGCUGGCGCCGCGCUAUAACUAUUUUUUUCAAAACUAAAAAAUACAGACGUCCAAUAACUGCGCAAAUAGAGGCUGAUGCAAUAUUUCCAGUAUGAUGAAUUAAAAGCAUACCCAUUCACUAACACAUGCAAAAGUAUGCUCCGACACGACCGUCCUGACCAUUACACGACCUCGUGAAAUAUUCCCAACAAUGCUUUGUUCUUUAUAACUUUAAUGCAACAAAACCAUUUUCAAAUCACACUUACAUCAACAAAUUAAAUUUCACGUUUCAAUAUCAUUCUUAGAGUAAUACAAACUUUUUAACAUAAUUCAAUCAUUACAUUACAAUAUCUAAUGCGCCACACGCCAUGAUCAAAACAAUUGUUUUGCACUUGUGCUUAAAUUUUUAUUAUAAAUUUCAUUAUAAGCCCUUCAGGGGUCUGUCACUUGCUAAAGCUUAUAUUUUAUUAAUAUCUCUUUCAACAGCUUCCUUUUCUAUUUCAACAGCUUCCUUUACCAUUUGCUUAUCAUUGUCUCUUUCAACAGUUUCAUUUUCCAUCUCUUCAUUACUGUCUCUUUCAACAGUUUCAUUUUCC